This 555-nucleotide long non-coding RNA is filed under the name Homo sapiens (human). RNAcentral describes it as "HSALNT0384781". The record is from RNAcentral. Lineage: Eukaryota; Metazoa; Chordata; Mammalia; Primates; Hominidae.
CUGCGUGGUCGAGCUGGCUGCCCCCUCAGCCGCCUGCCUUUGUGCCUCCAGCCUCCUUGGCUCCCUGAGUGCCUCACUUUGCCUUCUCCCCUGUUUCUCCCACCUCUGAGGCCGAGUAGCAGAAGUCAGAAGCUGGUGUCCAAGAGCCCCAAGAAGCAUGGUUAUGUCCCCUGAAGCCCUGGUCCACAUGAAGCUCUUCCUGCUUUUCUUCAGAGGAAGAUGCAGGAGCUGGUUAAUGGAAUGGAUUUUGCAUUCAGACAUCUCUUGGGGCUGCCUGUAGGUGGAUAUGUUCAUGGAAGACGGUGAAAAAGACAAGAAUAGGAUUUGCUGUAUAGAAUCACUAUAGUCACCAUCACACUGAGUAUCAACAACAUCUCUUGUUAUCCUCACAACUGUGCAAAACAGGUAAGGAGGAGAGUAUGACACCGUAUUAGUCCAUUCUCACACAGCUAUAAAAAAUACCUGAGACUAGGUAAUUUAUAAAGAAAAGAGGUUUAAUUGGCUCACAGUUCCACAGGCUGUACAGGAAGCAUGAUGCUGGCAUCUGCUUAGCUU